GACGAACGCUGGCGGCGUGCCUAAUACAUGCAAGUCGAACGAAGUGGCGAACGGGUGAGUAAUACGUGGGUAACUGCCCCCCUCUCUGGGAUAACAGUUGGAAACGGCUGCUAAUACCGGAUAGUGGGGGAUGACUCGCGGCCUAUCUGCUGGUUGGUGGGGUAGUGGCCUACCAGGGCGACGACGGGUCGCCGGCCUGGGAGGGGAACCGGCCACAUGGGGCUUGGCUACGGCCCAAACUCGUACGGGAGGCAGCAGUGGGGAAUAUUGCACAAUGGGGGAAACCCUGAUGCAGAAACGCCGCGUGCGGAAUGACUGCCUUCGGGUUGUAAACCGCUUUCAGCCAUGACGCGGUAGUGGCAGAAGAAGCACCGGCUAACUACGUGCCAGCAGCCGCGGUAAUUC
RNAcentral lists this ribosomal RNA (405 nucleotides) under uncultured bacterium. RNAcentral describes it as "partial 16S ribosomal RNA". It matches the Rfam family "Bacterial small subunit ribosomal RNA", at positions 28 to 526 of the family's 1533-position model. The record is from RNAcentral.